Molecule: long non-coding RNA, 375 nt
Organism: Branchiostoma floridae (Florida lancelet)
Lineage: Eukaryota; Metazoa; Chordata; Leptocardii; Amphioxiformes; Branchiostomatidae
Exons: 2
Source: RefSeq, a predicted model, not a curated record
GGCGCUAGGCCAAGGAAUUCUUGUUGAUUCGCCCGUACACUAUCGUUCUGUGCCGAGUUGCCGGGUUGGAAAGUACUGGGGAUUACCCGAAGGUCGGCGAAGCCGACCAAUCGGCGUAGCCGAUUGUGAGCGCGGCGAAGCCGCGCAGCGAGCGAAGCGAGCUAGGUGGGAAAGGCCUUUUCUACUAUCGCCGUUUUCUGCAAAAUUAUAAUAUGUAAGUCAAAAUUUCGAAGUGAUUUAUGUUCGUCGAGUUAUUUGGAGGCCAUUCAACGUACAAAGUGCACAUAAUAGUUAUUUGAAAUUAAAAUAAACGCCACUGAAAUUUGGCCGAUUUCCGGGACACUGCGUUACCAGCACAAAUAACUCGUAAAAAAA